CGCGGGCAGCGACGCCUGCAGAGCCGCGCCCAGGCCCGGGCACCGCCGACGGGAGGUUGAAUUUGACCGGUUCAGCCCCAGUGUCUUCCAGGACUCCUGGCCCAGAGUGGGGAAUUUGAGCUUUUCCACCAGAGGAGGAGGUGUGCAGAGCCACUGGGAGGCCGUGAGGAACCGCGCUAUAGCCGCUGGUGUGCGGUGUCAGGCGCGUGCCAUUCAGAACGCAUCCUCAUUGGGGAAUGAUUCAAAGGGAGAGGGGGUCUUUGGAAGAAUCGUUCCUACUCUGGGUAAAGAUAGGCCAGUCCCCUUGAGUGAUUCUAGACAGUCAGUAGGCUACAUGUUACGGCUGGAAGUCCACACCGAAGUUAUUACUCCAGGAUGUGCCAAUCGGAAAACUGCCCAUUCACAACCCGGAACCAAGAGAAUGCCAUUCUCAUCAUUCUGGAAUUCAGAAGAGAAGAAAAUGGUAAACGAACUUGGAGUCAUUCAAGAAACCAGUCCCGAAAACCAACAGGUGAAAAAGUGAAACAUUAUGAGAUGAAGUAAAAAGAAAACGUGAAAUCACCUAGGGGAAGCGACAGAAUCUGCAGUUAAGCCAUGAUGCCUUGAAAUGCUUCCAUUUCAUUGUCUGCCUCCUCCUUCUUCUUCUCUUCCCACCCUUUUUUCCGAUUCUCCUUUACCAUCUGGAGGUAAGAGCAC
This 696-nucleotide long non-coding RNA is filed under the name Homo sapiens (human). RNAcentral's name for it is "HSALNT0299939". Lineage: Eukaryota; Metazoa; Chordata; Mammalia; Primates; Hominidae. The record is from RNAcentral.